Small nuclear RNA from Neogale vison (American mink), 185 nucleotides. Its record names the gene U2. It matches the Rfam family "U2 spliceosomal RNA". Rfam says of the family: U2 is a small nuclear RNA (snRNA) component of the spliceosome (involved in pre-mRNA splicing). Complementary binding between U2 snRNA (in an area lying towards the 5' end but 3' to hairpin I) and the branchpoint sequence (BPS) of the intron results the bulging out of an unpaired adenosine, on the BPS, which initiates a nucleophilic attack at the intronic 5' splice site, thus starting the first of two transesterification reactions that mediate splicing. The record is from Ensembl. Lineage: Eukaryota; Metazoa; Chordata; Mammalia; Carnivora; Mustelidae.
CUUUAUGCUCAGUCUUUUGGCUAAGAUCUAGCAUCUGUUCUUAUCAGUUUAAUAUCUGAUACGUCCUUCAUCUGAGGACAAUAUGUUAAAUGGGUUUUAGGAGCAGGGAGAUGGGGUAGGAACUUGCUCGUCCACUCCAUGCAUUGAGCUGGAAUUGCAGGGCCUCUAGGAACAGUGCACCCCCC